This is a long non-coding RNA of Lethenteron reissneri (Far Eastern brook lamprey), 1811 nucleotides long. RefSeq lists it as uncharacterized. The record is from RefSeq and is a predicted model, not a curated record. Lineage: Eukaryota; Metazoa; Chordata; Hyperoartia; Petromyzontiformes; Petromyzontidae.
GGUCGCGUCGCCAACGGUUCUCCGCGGUGAGCAACAACGUCGUUGAAAACCAACGGCGCUGCAACGCCUCUCUGAAUAAAGUGAACGCCGAACCCGCUUGUGCCCUUCCGAGAUUCCGCGAGGAACGGGACCCACCCCGCCAGCUGGACUCCUGGGAAAACCGGAGGACCCGGAGAUAAAUCCACGCGACCACAAGGAGAGAGAGACACGCAAGCUCCACAUAUACAGACUGUUUGCUGCUGUGCUCACGCACCACGGAUCUCCCGUGUAAAGCCACGUGUCACCCGGAGGGGUAGUGGGGAGGGUGACGCAAGGGCUUAUCAAAGUCCAAGAGACGGGGCGAGGGGCACAGGCGUGUGUGCCUUACACGAUUUCAAGAGAGCAACGCUUGCUGGAGAGUUGUUGCUGCUGUGCUCACGCACCACGGAUCUCCCGUGUAAAAUAGCCGGGCGAAUGUCUACUGAACGGGACCGUCAUCCGUGGAACAAAUCAGCUGAACACUCAAGCGCUAGGUUUCCCUGUGGGUCCCUAUGUAAAAUAUCCAGGGAGCUGGCCAAAACGGGUCCCAUUCGUGUUACAAAUGAAGUCAAACUCAAAAGAUGCAUCGAUGCGUACGUUGAGAGAUUUGGUUGGAGGCGUGUAGGGGCUUUGAAAUAAAAUGCUGUUGUUCUCUGUCUCUGGUCGUUUUUGCGGUGGGUGUCUGUUAAUGGAAAAUCUGUACGUGCCUAAUGCGAGAAUAACUCCACUCCGCAUCUCCACACUUUAAAAUAACAUGAUUUUAUUAUCUUAGUCCCCUUCGGCCUAUUGGCCUUUUAAAGACCAUUCUUUCAAUUUUUUUCAAGGGGAAUUUGUUGAAGGAGGCAAGCUCUACACUGGUUUAGACCUUCAUGGGUCUCGUGCGCAUUACGGUUUGCCCAGCACAGGAGAACUCUUGUCCACGGCACCUAAUAUCUCCGUCGCUGCGAUUAUACGUGCUAGCUGUCGGGUGUGCAAACACUUCGAUUACCGGUGAGAAUAUUUCCUCCUACCAUGAACGAUUACACUGGUCAACACACUUUUUCUGGCAUAAGGUAUUCCAACGGUAAUAAGGUAAUUCUGGGGUGCUGAUUCCAAAUCUGGCAUCAGUUUUUGUCUAUCACAUCAGGUUUUUGAGAUAUCAAAUAUUGCAUUUUCAAUAAAAACUGCAGAAGAAAAAUAUUAAAUAAAUGUGGAUAUUUACAUAAAAUUAUAUUAUAAACACACUAUCCUAAAAAUACAGCACCAUAUCUUUAACACUAAAGCAGUCACUGACUCGCAACAACUUGCAAUCAUAAGUGACAAAGUUAAUUUCGGGUAAAAUCAAUGAAAAUGGGGUAUGCCGAUAGCAUAAAAUGAGAUGUGAUGGAGCAAAUCUGAGAUCAGAUUUGGAAUCAGCACCCUGAAAUUAGUCUAAAACAGCUGCAAAAGUCCAGGCCAGAAAAAAAAAGUUUUUUUGUUGACCAGUGUUAUCCGCGAUUACAUCCAGAAUGCAUAGCGAAGAGGCUUCCUAAAUACUCGCGAUUUUUCGGCGGAGAAGAGGAGGUGUGAGCAACAAUUUGCUCCUAUCAUCCGUGAUUGUUUUUUUCGCGGAUAAAAGGAAUCUCCGCGUGACAUUAAUCUCCUUAACCGCAGAUUAUCCGCUAAAUUUAACUCCGCGCAGAUGAGAGGAAGUAAAAUUGCCUAUAACCGCCACGGAUAAUCGGAUCCGCAAUAUUGGUGUGCCCCAAAUCAUCGCGGCGAAUAAGACGAGUUUUUCCAAUGCGAUAUUUGAAUAUGUUUUCACGCUCCUCUGU